GGAAUAGCUCAGUGGUAGAGCGCAUGCUUAGCAUGCACGAGGUCCUGGGUUCAAUCCCCAAUACCUCCA
This 69-nucleotide transfer RNA is filed under the name Camelus ferus (Wild Bactrian camel). It matches the Rfam family "tRNA". From Rfam's summary of the family: Transfer RNA (tRNA) molecules are approximately 80 nucleotides in length. Their secondary structure includes four short double-helical elements and three loops (D, anti-codon, and T loops). The record is from Rfam by way of RNAcentral. Lineage: Eukaryota; Metazoa; Chordata; Mammalia; Artiodactyla; Camelidae.